UGCCUAGAAACCCAAAAGCAACGAUGGAC
RNAcentral lists this non-coding RNA (29 nucleotides) under Homo sapiens (human). Lineage: Eukaryota; Metazoa; Chordata; Mammalia; Primates; Hominidae. The record is from RNAcentral.